This 424-nucleotide ribosomal RNA is filed under the name uncultured beta proteobacterium. RNAcentral describes it as "bacterial SSU rRNA". It matches the Rfam family "Bacterial small subunit ribosomal RNA", at positions 202 to 622 of the family's 1533-position model. The record is from RNAcentral. Lineage: Bacteria; Pseudomonadati; Pseudomonadota; Betaproteobacteria.
CAAGACCUAUCGCUUUCGGAGUGGCCGAUAUCAGAUUAGCUGGUUGGUGAGGUAAAGGCUCACCAAGGCGACGAUCUGUAGCUGGUCUGAGAGGACGACCAGCCACACUGGGACUGAGACACGGCCCAGACUCCUACGGGAGGCAGCAGUGGGGAAUUUUGGACAAUGGGGGCAACCCUGAUCCAGCCAUGCCGCGUGAGUGAAGAAGGCCUUCGGGUUGUAAAGCUCUUUCAGCCGGAAAGAAAUCGUGCAGAUUAAUACUCUGCAUGGAUGACGGUACCGGAAGAAGAAGCACCGGCUAACUACGUGCCAGCAGCCGCGGUAAUACGUAGGGUGCGAGCGUUAAUCGGAAUUACUGGGCGUAAAGCGUGCGCAGGCUGUUUUGUAAGACAGACGUGAAAUCCCCGGGCUUAACCUGGGAACU